This 75-nucleotide small RNA is filed under the name Jaculus jaculus (lesser Egyptian jerboa). Its description in RNAcentral is "7SK RNA (ENSJJAG00000004691.1)". It matches the Rfam family "7SK RNA", at positions 19 to 89 of the family's 331-position model. Rfam says of the family: 7SK was discovered as an abundant small nuclear RNA in the mid-70s but a possible function has only recently been suggested. Two independent studies have found that 7SK RNA binds the CDK9/cyclin T complex (known as elongation factor P-TEFb). Lineage: Eukaryota; Metazoa; Chordata; Mammalia; Rodentia; Dipodidae. The record is from RNAcentral.
GUUGUGACAUUCCGCACCUCAUUGAUCGAUUGCCAGGGUUGAUUUGGCUGAUCUGUCUGGCUAGGUGGGUGUCCC